UGCAACCUGAACUCAAAUGUGAUUACCCGCUGAACU
Molecule: ribosomal RNA, 36 nt
Filed under: Pseudalius inflexus
Lineage: Eukaryota; Metazoa; Nematoda; Chromadorea; Rhabditida; Pseudaliidae
Description: partial 28S ribosomal RNA
Source: RNAcentral